Small nucleolar RNA from Thalassophryne amazonica, 127 nucleotides. RefSeq annotates it as small nucleolar RNA SNORA71. The record is from RefSeq and is a predicted model, not a curated record. The transcript has a single exon. Lineage: Eukaryota; Metazoa; Chordata; Actinopteri; Batrachoidiformes; Batrachoididae.
CCCUGUAUCGAAAGUGAUCAUGGCGUUCCCGUUGCCAGGUCAUUGAUAGUACAGGAAGAUGAACUCGAGGGCUUUUCCCGUGUUUGAGGGAACCUCUGUUCCCAUCAGACCCUGGCGCUCUCAGACA